CCUACGGGAGACUGCAGUGAGGAAUAUUGGUCAAUGGCCGGAAGUCUGAACCAGCCAAGUAGCGUGAAGGAUGAAUGCCCUAAGGAUUGUAAACUUCUUUUAUCAAGGAAUAAAACGAGGCACGUGUGCCUUUUUGCGUGUACUUUAUGAAUAAGGAUCGGCUAACUCCGUGCCAGCAGCCGCGGUAAUACGGAGGAUCCGAGCGUUAUCCGGAUUUAUUGGGUUUAAAGGGAGCGUAGAUGGGUUGUUAAGUCAGUUGUGAAAGUUUGCGGCUCAACCGUAAAAUUGCAAUUGAUACUGGCAGUCUUGAGUACAGGUGAGGUAGGCGGAAUGCGUGGUGUAGCGGUGAAAUGCUUAGAUAUCACGAAGAACUCCGAUUGCGAAGGCAGCUUACCAACCUCUGACUGACAUUGAUGCUCGAAAGUGUGGGUAUCAAACAGGAUUAGAUACCCUAGUAGUC
Molecule: ribosomal RNA, 460 nt
Filed under: uncultured bacterium
Lineage: Bacteria
Description: partial 16S ribosomal RNA
Rfam family: Bacterial small subunit ribosomal RNA
Source: RNAcentral